ACGAAUCAAUUAAAAACUAAUUAUACACUUGCACUAUAACAUUUUCAUGUUUUCUGUGGCUGCCGAUCAUCGUGCAGCAAGAUGUCUUCGAAAAUAAGUUAUAUUUUACUCUUCUGUUGCUUUUAUUUUAUUCGAGCACAUGGAACGAAAGCAAUUGACAUGGACUACUUUUUGAGCUUCCUACGCAACUCUAACUGCUCCACCAAAGCAGGACUACAAUACUGCAAAGAAAUUUGCCAUGGAGUGGCCGUACUGUGUCAUAACGGGGAAUGUUACUGUCAUCAAAGUGUCGUAGAUACUAUAAGCUCGCCCAAUGUAGUGGCAAGUGUAGAUCUGAUGAUAGCGCCGAAAGCACCAAUUCCUCCGAAAAACGAAGUUCAAAUAAAUAUAUCACCCCAAAUUGUCCAAAAAAGCGAUGAAGAUAUACCAGUCCAAAUUUCUUCAUCUCGGAGACAUCAAAUAGCCCACUUCUGCCCAAGUCUUGACGUAGCUAGAGAGUGUAUCAGGAAGUGCAUAGGGCUCGGCAAGGCUGCGUUCUGCGGAAAGGACCACCAAUGUUACUGUGGCCACAAAUACAGUUCCCAGGAUUCACCGGACAAACAAGAUGCAGUGGAAAUCUAUAAGGAGUUCGCAGACAUGUACGCAAAAUACUUUGGAAAUGCUGAAAGAGACACGGCAAGUGAUGAAAAUUACGAUGAGUUCUUAAAAAAGAAAAAAUUGUCGAAUAAGGUUACUCCUCAUGCUUAAGCAUUUGCAUGUAAUAAAUGUAUAUUCAAAAGUC
Long non-coding RNA from Cydia splendana, 781 nucleotides. RefSeq lists it as uncharacterized. NCBI's taxonomy places the organism in Eukaryota, Metazoa, Arthropoda, Insecta, Lepidoptera, Tortricidae. The transcript is spliced from 4 exons. The record is from RefSeq and is a predicted model, not a curated record.